ACUACCAGGAUUCCCCUAUAACGGCGAGUGAACGGGAUGAGCUCAAAUUUAAAAUCUGGCAGUCUUUGGCUGUCCGAGUUGUAUUCUAGAGAAGUGUUUUCCGCGCUGGACCGUGUACAAGUCUCUUGGAACAGAGCGUCAUAGAGGGUGAGAAUCCCGUCUUUGACACGGACUACCAGUGCUUUGUGAUGCGCUCUCAAAGAGUCGAGUUGUUUGGGAAUGCAGCUCAAAAUGGGUGGUAAAUUCCAUCUAAAGCUAAAUAUUGGCGAGAGACCGAUAGCGAACAAGUACCGUGAGGGAAAGAUGAAAAGCACUUUGGAAAGAGAGUUAAACAGUACGUGAAAUUGCUGAAAGGGAAACGCUUGAAGUCAGUCGCGUUAGCUAGAACUCAGCCUUGCUUUUGCUUGGUGCAUUUUCUAGUUGACGGGCCAGCAUCAGUUUUGACUGCGGGAUAAAGGUUAGGGGAAUGUGGCACCUUCGGGUGUGUUAUAGCCUCUGAUUGUAUACCGUGGUUGGGACUGAGGAUCUCAGCACGCCUUUAUGGCCCGGGGUUCGCCACGUUCGUGCUUAGGAUGCUGGCGUAAUGGCUUUAAACGACCCGUCUUGAAACACGGGACCAAGGAGUCUAACAUACCUGCGAGUAUUUGGGUGGUAAACCCGAGUGCGCAAUGAAAGUGAUAGUUGGGAUCUCUGUCGUGGAGAGCACCGACGGCCCGGACCAGACCUUUUGUGACGGGCUCCGCGGUAGAGCAAGUAUGCUGGGACCCGAAAGAUGGUGAACUAUGCCUGAAUAGGGUGAAGCCAGAGGAAACUCUGGUGGAGGCUCGUAGCGAUUCUGACGUGCAAAUCGAUCGUCAAAUUUGGGUAUAGGGGCGAAAGACUAAUCGAACCAUCAGU
RNAcentral lists this ribosomal RNA (897 nucleotides) under Ceriporia viridans. RNAcentral's name for it is "eukaryotic LSU rRNA". It matches the Rfam family "Eukaryotic large subunit ribosomal RNA", at positions 64 to 948 of the family's 3401-position model. The record is from RNAcentral. Lineage: Eukaryota; Fungi; Basidiomycota; Agaricomycetes; Polyporales; Irpicaceae.